This 238-nucleotide ribosomal RNA is filed under the name uncultured bacterium. RNAcentral's name for it is "partial 16S ribosomal RNA". It matches the Rfam family "Bacterial small subunit ribosomal RNA", at positions 93 to 334 of the family's 1533-position model. The record is from RNAcentral.
CAGCGGCGAACGGGUGAGUAACACGUGGGUGACCUGCCCUGAAGACGGGGGAUAACCACCGGAAACGGUGGCUAAUACCCGAUGUGCUCAGCAAUUCGGUUUGUUGAGUAAAGCUCCGGUGCUUCAGGAUGGACCUGCGGCCUAUCAGCUAGUUGGUAGGGUAAUGGCCUACCAAGGCGAAGACGGGUAGGGGACGUGAGAGCGUGACCCCCCACACUGGCACUGAGAUACGGGCCAG